AUGCAAUGCCUGUCUUAUCUCUCGCCUGGCAAGGUUAAUGAAGUGGUGGCGUUUUCGGAAGGAAGUCGGAUUGGGAUGAGUAGCAAAGACCAGAGGAAGCUCCAAGAUGAAACGUACGACUCUGAGCGGCUCCCGUCCCCUACCAGUCUGCAGUCACACUGCCGCCAUGCGGAGAAUAGAGUCCUCAUAACAAUGGAAAAUGCCAAGACCCAAAGGGCACCUAGACCGCCAUCACAGACUGGAUCUCUUUAAUUACCCGGUGAGUGCAAAUAUUCUAUACCCUUUCACCAUCUUGAAUCUGUACAAAGCGCUUUGCAGUGUUCUGAUGCCUACAAUAUGCAAAAGACCGAAACUAGUCUGCACAGAUAGUCUGACCAAAAUCAAUUUAAUUUGCCAAUUUUGACUUAUACCGGAAAACCAUGAGUGAGCCACCAUACUGUAGCCAUUACACAAUGCAAUUAUUAGCAUGUGAGAAAUCACUAAAGGUUAUCAUUCCUCUGAAGCUGAAGUGUCAGUCUCACAGAGGCGUUUCACACAGCGUGAGUCCAUAUCCACGCACACACUCACAAUGUGUUUAAGCGCUGUCUUCUUCAGGCCGUUCGUUACCACGUCUCCGUGUAUCUGAACAUGUUUCACAUCUUCCACCACAGGAACGAGAAUCCUUGGCAAUGGCUCGGAGGCGUACGCCUAUAAUUAGAAGGCAGCUCAAUUGGGUAGCAGGUAAUUUACCUUUAGGGGGAGACGACUAAUUAUUGUCUUUGAAAACCUAAUUUAGCGUCAAACACUUCAGGUGUCUUUUCCCCUCUCUUUAGCAAAGGGAAAGGUAUCCUGGAGCAGUCUUGGGGUUGGGGCGGAGGAUCCAUCCCCCGUGUGUCCUGUCUCUGGUGUUAUAAUGUUUACAUGGAUGAUUUCUAAAGAGAAACUAAGAGCCCGUGUCGCUGUGCAGAAACAGUGCAAAACGGAACAAAGCGUUUUUUGUUGUCCUCCUUUUGUCUGUCUCUGCAGGUUCUAGUGGAGGAAGGCGUCACUCUCUGCAGGUGUAUGGGGUUUCUUCUAGAGUGGAAGGCACCACUCUUAGGCCCUCUGUUAAAUGUUCCUAGCAGGUGAACCUGUUCCUGGCAGAUGGUGUUUGUGUGACUGACGCCCGUUCCCAGCAGAGGCAGGCCCAGGGAAACGAUCACAGAGCACAGUCUCUGCAGAGAAGCCCCAUCCAACCUGAUGGCAUAUGCUCUGCUGUGGCCUACACCUGCUGAAGGAUGGCGUUUACACCACCAUCCCUGGGCUCCACCGCCAAGUGGGGUGUUAAUCACAGCUCACUGCUCACUGCUCACUCUGCUCACACACACUUUUUAAAACCAGUAAAUAACUGAAUACACAACUACAGUGGCUCUGUCACUAUGGACAUAAUGUUAUCAUUUCCCCUGUAAGGCAUUGGAACCUCUUUUGUUAAGCUAUGUCUAUCGUAGCACAAUGUAGACUAAUGUGUGUAGUUUGAAACGGCAGAACAUUAAAACGAAUUGCACUCGAUUAUAAUGUGUCCUUUCCCAGACAUGAUGUAUCUAUUGGAUAGAGCAAACGUGACAAACUCAUCACAAAUGGACAGUUGAGAGUACAUGCCUGCGUUCUAUUUAAAUCUAUGACCUAUACAACCUCUUAGCAAACAAAACCAUGAAAAUGAUAUCAGGUUACUCCAAGCUCAACAGUCAAGCGGAGCCAUAUUCAAGCAAUUUUAUGGCUCAUCCAUACCAACUAUCACAGGUGUAUGAAAUGAUUUACUGGCUGAUGCUACUCAUCACUAGAGCUAUAGAAAAUAUCACUUUAUGAGAGUGUUUUCCCAGGCCUUUUGACUAACCAGUGCUAACUGGAGUAGAGCGGUGUCCAGUGUCGUUGUUGGACUAGAUUGGAGGUCAGUAACAGGUCCACUGUUGAAAUAUGUAGACAGUUAAUAGCCUGGAACUGCCCCGUCCAACUGGAAACCAGUGAGCUGCUUACACUAAAACUGGGGAUUAGGACACAGUCGCCCAAGUCACUGCCAAUUCAGAUGGCACGGAGACCCUGGGCAAAGCAGUUUGAUCUGGCGAGCUGUCAUCGAUUCACACAGCUUCCAGCUGGAGCACCGGAACCCCAUUGAAGCACGGAAUGGAACCCUCUCCAUCUUGGCACAUCUUGGCUGGCUCAAUCCCCCGCAGGCCAUUAGGGACAAAAUAUGUUUUGUUUUUCGAUUUUCUUUUUUUUCUCCUCCCGAAGAAAAAUACAGUCUGUCUUCAUGCUAUAACAGCCAUUACUUAAUUGUGCCGGAUUUUCCGAGCAGAGUGUUGCUUUAAUUAAGCAGCUAAUUGCAAUGUAGCUCUUGAUUAGCUUUGGGGGGAUGGGAAUGUUCAGACAGGCUGAUAUGUUGUGCACACUUCAGAAUCAUUUACAGAAAUUGAAGCUAAUUUCACUCUGUGUCUAUUGCUGCAUUAAUUUAAUUUGGGUUGCUUUUAGCUCAUUAACACUUCUAAUUAAUACGUUGACAUCACUAUUAAGAUGUCUCUUUGAAAUGGGCGUCUCCUGAUAGUCAGGAUGGAACAGGCUGACGGAUCGAGUGAGAAGCGGACUGUAGGGAGACAGAGAUGGAGAGAGAGAACUCCUCCAGACUGAAGGAGAGGAAGAUAGUGGCCUCGUUUCAUAAACCACAGCUAGUUUAUCAUAGUGGACACUAAUAGGGUUUUGUGGGUAAAUUGGAAAUGAAAGGAAUGUUGAUUGUUUUAAAUUGGAUAGAGGUUACAGUUAAUGUGCGUGUGCAUGUGUAGUACGUGUGCAUGUGUAGUACAUGUGCAUGUGUAGUACGUGUGCGUGUGUGUGCGUGUGUUGCUCUUGAAAAGGAGUGGGGGUGGUGGCGAGGGCUGGGACGUCAGGGCCAGAUGCCGUACACAGCUGAAGAUCACGCCUGACUAACUAUGUGUUUGGGUUUGUCACUUUAAUGAGGAGGAUUUAGUGACUAUGGGUUAGUAAUCCUCAGUGUGAAGCCUCAUCACACCACAGUCAGUUUAGCCAACUUUCACCACCACACACUGCCAUCUCCUAGAGCUGGCUGGAGGAUUUUACUGAUAGGAUCUUCUUUAUUAAACAUAAACAAAUCAUGUUAUUUACAUUUCUUAUGUAUUUCAGUCAACCUAUAUUUGCACAUGUCUGUUAUUUGGAUAUCUGAAAUAUUCAUUGUACUAGAAUUUCCUAACUUUACAAUGGGUGGCAAGCAUGAUUAUACUUUCUUCUAAAAUAUUGAAUUGAAAUGACAAAAAAGGACCUGUAUCCUUCUACAAAGCAUUUAUUAAAUGUGUGGCAAUUGGAUAAUGACUGAAAGAGCAAAUUAUCUAACAGAGGAGCAGUCAAGAUGAUGGUUCCAAACCAAGGUUCUCUCUCAAGUUUCAGAGUCAAAAUAAUGGCUUUCCAAUUUACUUUCUCUCACUUUGUCUUUCAUUAGGGCAUACAAGUCAAGAAAUCAGCAUUGAUGCAAAAAUGAUUGUUAUUUGGUAUGGUAAACCUUCUUUUUUUUCAGUGAAGUGCUUUUUUUGCUGGUAGUAGUCUGCCACUGAAGGGAAAGCCUUCUGUUUAGUACUUCAUUAAAAGUCUCUCAAAUAGGAGCCACUGGGGAGCGGAUCCCUGCGUCACAUGGAGAAGCUAUCAACAUCUGCAUCAAUUAACCCCUUCCUCCCCAGGGACCCAUUAGAACGAGGAACACCCUUUAAAAUUGUGUAUGAUUCAGAUUAGGCUCUGCAAUGGUGAGUGGGAGCGAUAGAAUGGGCUUUUUUGUUUUACUUUAUAGAUGUGUCUAUGUGAGACAUCUCAAAUGUCUUGGCUUUGUUUAAAAGCUUUGCAUCUGUGCUCUUGGAAUACACUCGGGUUAACAGUUAAGAUACAAAGCCGUCAGCAGCUAAUGUAUAGUUAACCUUGUUUGAUAUAAGGUAUUGAAAAGACGUGAUACAGUAUAUUAUGUACUGAAAAGAACAUACAUUUUGUGAAAUAAACAAUUAGAGGCAUAAAAUAGUUCUCAAUACAUCCAAAAUAUGUGAAGUAGUUUCUCAACUUUUAAUAUUUAUAUUGUUUUUAAUUUACAGACUAUUGUCUAGUGUUGUUCCAUGGAGUCCUGUUGGCUCUAGGCGAGAUGUGAAAUCUUGAGAGAUCUUGCAUAGGAUUAAUGGAUCCCGUUUACAGAUCCUCUGUUUCCAUCCUCACGAGGGGGAAUCAAAGAUGGGCUCAAUUAAAGAAUCUUUUCAAGCAGCAGCAACUGUAGGGAGCGCAGUGAUCAGUAUUGGCAAGAGGCAAGAGAAACACUUGUGUUUAAGACCUAUUACCAGCCAAACACUGUGCCCAAACAAUCUGAAGGGAUGUUAUUAAGAUUGUAAAUACCGCUAGGCUAUAUCUUAGAUCCUUAGGGACCAAGAAUUUACACCUUUAUAUCGCUACUGCUCUCCGUCCUUGAAGCAUGAAAGCAAGAUGUAGCACUGACUCUAGUUCAAUAGUGCUGCAGUUAGACCAUUUACGGGAAUAUGAUAUUUAGCAU
Long non-coding RNA from Oncorhynchus mykiss (rainbow trout), 4543 nucleotides. NCBI's taxonomy places the organism in Eukaryota, Metazoa, Chordata, Actinopteri, Salmoniformes, Salmonidae. The record is from Ensembl.